GACAGAGGUGCCAAGCGUUAGGCGGAAUCACUGGGCUUAAAGCGUGUGUAGGUGGAUGUCUAAGUGCUUUGUGAAAUCCCACGGCUCACCCGUGGAACUGCUUGGCAUACUGGAUGUCUUGAGCCACUUAGGGGUCGCUGGAACAAACGGUGGAGCGGUGAAAUGCGUAGAUAUCGUUUGGAACGCCAAUGGUGAAAACAGGCGACUGGGAGUGUGCUGACACUGAGACACGAAAGCCAGGGGAGCGAACGGG
This 253-nucleotide ribosomal RNA is filed under the name uncultured bacterium. Its description in RNAcentral is "partial 16S ribosomal RNA". It matches the Rfam family "Bacterial small subunit ribosomal RNA", at positions 524 to 776 of the family's 1533-position model. The record is from RNAcentral.